GAUGAACGCUAGCGGCGUGCCUAAUACAUGCAAGUCGAGCGAACAGAUGAGGAGCUUGCUCCUCUGACGUUAGCGGCGGACGGGUGAGUAACACGUGGAUAACCUACCUAUAAGACUGGGAUAACUUCGGGAAACCGGAGCUAAUACCGGAUAAUAUAUUGAACCGCAUGGUUCAAAAGUGAAAGACGGUUUUGCUGUCACUUAUAGAUGGAUCCGCGCCGCAUUAGCUAGUUGGUAAGGUAACGGCUUACCAAGGCAACGAUGCGUAGCCGACCUGAGAGGGUGAUCGGCCACACUGGAACUGAGACACGGUCCAGACUCCUACGGGAGGCAGCAGUAGGGAAUCUUCCGCAAUGGGCGAAAGCCUGACGGAGCAACGCCGCGUGAGUGAUGAAGGUCUUCGGAUCGUAAAACUCUGUUAUUAGGGAAGAACAAAUGUGUAAGUAACUAUGCACGUCUUGACGGUACCUAAUCAGAAAGCCACGGCUAACUACGUG
This 497-nucleotide ribosomal RNA is filed under the name uncultured bacterium. RNAcentral's name for it is "partial 16S ribosomal RNA". It matches the Rfam family "Bacterial small subunit ribosomal RNA", at positions 28 to 507 of the family's 1533-position model. The record is from RNAcentral.